This 1398-nucleotide unclassified non-coding RNA is filed under the name Hevea brasiliensis (rubber tree). Lineage: Eukaryota; Viridiplantae; Streptophyta; Magnoliopsida; Malpighiales; Euphorbiaceae. The record is from RNAcentral.
GGAGAAUGCAUACACGAAUGGUUUAGAGUGAAUCAUGAUGGUGGCAAAGACAAAAUAAGCUGUGAUGAGUUUCUGGAUUUGACUCUUGAGGAUGUCAGUAAUUGUAUAGAGCUUAUUUAUACUCCCAUCCGCAAAGAUACAUUAAAAGGAAGCUGUAGGAGCAUAUUGUCUUGCCCAGUCGCUCCUGGGGACCCAAUUGGUGUUGAAUUGUCAAUUCCUAAAUGCUGCGAGGGCGAGACAAUAGUUCCCAAUCAGAGAUACUUUGGAGGGAAAGAAGGUGAUAGUGAAUAUGUUUGGUAUCGGAGUAAGAAUAAGCUUCAUGAAUCUGCUCUACUGAACUUGCCUAGCAUUACAGAGGAUGUACAUAUUUGUGCAAGAACUUUAUCAUAUACGCCAUCGCUUGAAGAUGUGGGAGCAUAUUUGUCAUUAUAUUGGUUGCCAAUUCGCAUUGACGGCAAAUCUGGGAACCCAUUAGCAUCAGUUUGCGAGUCUCCAGUCUCCCCAGCUUUUCCAGUAGUUUCUAAUGUUCAUGCAAAGGAGCUCUCAUCCAGUAGUUACCUUGGGGAAGGAGAAUAUUUUGGUGGUCAUGAAGGAACAAGCUUAUUUAGCUGGUACAGAGAAACUGAUGAGGGAACAAUCACUCUCAUCAAUGGAGCAUGUUCUAAAACUUAUGAAGUUGUAGAUGAAGAUUACAGUUGUCGUUUACUUUUCGGAUAUACGCCAGUUCGUUCAGAUUCAAUUAUUGGUGAACAUCAGUUAUCCGAGCCAACUCAUGUGAUUCUCCCAGAUAUUCCAAGAAUUGAGACGGUGGCUCUUACUGGGAAAGCUGUUGAAGGAGAUAUACUAACUGCUGUUGAAAUUAUUCCAAAGAGUGAAAUUCAAGAGCGUGUAUGGGCAAAAUAUAGGAAGGAUAUCAAAUAUACUUGGUUCAUUUCGACUGAAACAGGAAAUAAUAAGUCCUUUGAGCCAUUACCAUCACAACGUUCUUGCUCAUACAGGUUACGAUUUGAGGACAUAGGUCGCUCUCUUAGAUGUGAAUGCAUCGUGUCUGAUGUUUUUGGAAGGUCAAGUGAUCCAGUGUAUGCUGAAACUCCUUCAGUUUCACCAGGUAUCCCUCGGAUGGAUAAGCUGGACAUUGAAGGAAGAGGUUUUCACACCAAUCUGUAUGCUGUUCGUGGCGUUUAUAGUGGCGGAAAGGAGGGCAAAAGCAAAAUUCAGUGGCUUAGAUCCAUGGUUGGAAGUCCUGACCUCAUCUCCAUUCCUGGGGAGACAGGAAGAAUGUAUGAAGCUAAUGUUGAUGACGUGGGUUAUAGGCUGGUCGUGAUAUAUACACCAGUAAGAGAAGACGGAGUUGAGGGGCAUCCUGUUUCUGCUUCUACAGAUCCAAUUGCAAUUGAG